Molecule: ribosomal RNA, 775 nt
Filed under: uncultured Neocallimastigales
Lineage: Eukaryota; Fungi; Neocallimastigomycota; Neocallimastigomycetes; Neocallimastigales
Description: partial large subunit ribosomal RNA
Rfam family: Eukaryotic large subunit ribosomal RNA
Source: RNAcentral
GUACACGCUGUGACUAGCAUAUCAAUAAGCGGAGGAAAAGAAACUAACAAGGAUUCCCCUAGUAACGGCGAGUGAAGCGGGAAGAGCUCAACUUUGAAAUCUUAAAGGGUUUCCCUUUACGAAUUGUAGUUUAAAGAAGUGUUUUCUGUUGAGGUUUUGGUAAAAGUUCUUUGGAAUAGGACAUCAUAGAGGGUGAGAAUCCCGUAUUUGACCUUUACUUUCAACUUUGUGAUACACUUUCAAAGAGUCGGAUUGUUUGGGAAUGCAGUCCAAAAUGGGUGGUAAAUUUCAUCUAAAGCUAAAUAUUGGCGAGAGACCGAUAGCGAACAAGUACCGUGAGGGAAAGAUGAAAAGAACUUUGAAAAGAGAGUUAAACAGUACGUGAAAUUGUCAAAAGGGAAGCGUUUGACACCAGUGUUGUUUUUCUGAAAAUCAAUUAAAGAACUGUUUAUGCUAAGUUGUUUAGACUUUAUCAGCUAACUGUUUAGUUUUGAGCUUUUCUUUAAUGCACUUUUCAGUUAACAAGUCAACAUCAAUUUCUUUUGCUGUAAAAAAGCUUGAGGAAGGUGGCUUGAGAUUCGUCUUAAGUGUUUAUAGCCUCUUGCCUAUGCAGUCGGAGAGAUUGAGGUCUGCAGCGUAGAUCCUUCGGGGCUAAAUGCAUUUGUGCUAAGUUAUAGCAUUUUAUAGACAACUUGUUGACUAUGAUUUGUCUUGUAGCUUACUCGCUUAUGUUAUUUUACCUACGCUUAGGAUGUUGAGUCGUAGAGGCACGCAG